Molecule: ribosomal RNA, 319 nt
Filed under: uncultured eukaryote
Lineage: Eukaryota
Description: partial 18S ribosomal RNA
Rfam family: Eukaryotic small subunit ribosomal RNA
Source: RNAcentral
CCCUUAGAUGAUUUGGGCUGCACGCGCGCUACACUGACCCUAACAAUGAGCAACUGUCUGGCCUGAGAUGGCUGGGUAGCCUUUUCAACCCAUGUCAUGAUUGGGCUAGAUUUUUGUAAGUCUUGAUCUCUAACGAGGAAUCCCUAGUAUGCGUGAAUCAUCAAUCCAUGCAGAUUAUGUCCCUGCCCUUUGUACACACCGCCCGUCGCUCCUACUGAUUGGGUGAUCCGGUGAGCUGUUCGGCCAUAGCAAUGUUUCUUGAGCAGGGCAAUGAAUGUUGCGCAAACCUUGCCACUUAGAGGAAGGAGAAGUCGUAACA